RNAcentral lists this ribosomal RNA (222 nucleotides) under Vibrio parahaemolyticus. Its description in RNAcentral is "partial 16S ribosomal RNA". It matches the Rfam family "Bacterial small subunit ribosomal RNA", at positions 1 to 220 of the family's 1533-position model. Lineage: Bacteria; Pseudomonadati; Pseudomonadota; Gammaproteobacteria; Vibrionales; Vibrionaceae. The record is from RNAcentral.
AAAUUGAAGAGUUUGAUCAUGGCUCAGAUUGAACGCUGGCGGCAGGCCUAACACAUGCAAGUCGAGCGGAAACGAGUUAUCAGAACCUUCGGGGGACGAUAACGGCGUCGAGCGGCGGACGGGUGAGUAAUGCCUAGGAAAUUGCCCUGAUGUGGGGGAUAACCAUUGGAAACGAUGGCUAAUACCGCAUGAUGCCUAUGGGCCAAAGAGGGGGACCUUCGG